RNAcentral lists this unclassified non-coding RNA (333 nucleotides) under Scleroderma sp. RNAcentral describes it as "partial contains 5.8S ribosomal RNA, internal transcribed spacer 2, and large subunit ribosomal RNA". The record is from RNAcentral. Lineage: Eukaryota; Fungi; Basidiomycota; Agaricomycetes; Boletales; Sclerodermataceae.
CGCACCUUGCGCUCCUCGGUAUUCCGAGGAGCAUGCCUGUUCGAGUGUCAUCGAAAUCUCGAAUCGAAGCUUGGACCCGGUCCGAGCUUCGUUCGGACAGUGGGAGUCUGCGGGCGAAGCCUCGCUACGUCCGCUCUCCUCAAAAGCAUUAGCCGUGGACGCCAGCCUUGCAUGGCACGGCCUCUUCGACGUCGUAAUGAUCGUCGCGGGCUGGAAGUGCGAGGCGGGACCGACCACGCUUCCCUAGACUUGCGAGCCCGUUCUCCUCGGGGAACGGCCGCGCCCCCAUCGAUGCUUGACCUCGAAUCAGGUAGGACUACCCGCCGAACUUAA